UACGGAGGGUGCAAGCGUUACUCGGAAUCACUGGGCGUAAAGGGUGCGUAGGCGGGUUAUCAAGUCUCGAGUGAAAUCCAACGGCUUAACCGUUGAACUGCUUGGGAAACUGGUAGCCUAGAGUGAGGGAGAGGGUAGUGGAAUUUCGAGUGUAGGGGUGAAAUCCGUAGAGAUCACCAGGAAUACCCAUUGCGAAGGCGAUCUGCUGGAACUCAACUGACGCUGAGGCACGAAAGCGUGGGGAG
This 245-nucleotide ribosomal RNA is filed under the name uncultured Sulfurospirillum sp. RNAcentral describes it as "partial 16S ribosomal RNA". It matches the Rfam family "Bacterial small subunit ribosomal RNA", at positions 524 to 768 of the family's 1533-position model. Lineage: Bacteria; Pseudomonadati; Campylobacterota; Epsilonproteobacteria; Campylobacterales; Sulfurospirillaceae. The record is from RNAcentral.